ACAGGAAUUGCUGGGUCACAUGGUUACCCUAUGACUAACCUAUUGAGGAUCAGCAAAAUUGUUUUCUAAAAUGGCUACAUCAUUUUAUAUUCCCAUCAGCAAU
RNAcentral lists this microRNA precursor (103 nucleotides) under Marmota monax (woodchuck). The record is from RNAcentral. Lineage: Eukaryota; Metazoa; Chordata; Mammalia; Rodentia; Sciuridae.